Long non-coding RNA from Lampris incognitus (smalleye Pacific opah), 664 nucleotides. RefSeq lists it as uncharacterized. The transcript has 3 exons. NCBI's taxonomy places the organism in Eukaryota, Metazoa, Chordata, Actinopteri, Lampriformes, Lampridae. The record is from RefSeq and is a predicted model, not a curated record.
UGUUGGCGCUGUUGUUGCAUAAUAACUUGGCGUUACUCUACCAAGUUCUCACAGCGAUACACCCGGGUUAGUCUCGCUUUAAACCUGUCAUCAGCCCAUCGUCAUUAAUUACCUCACUAGCAGGCCAAGGUUGAAGACUGUAGAGAAUACUGCGUUGGUUGGUGAACAACAUAGAGAGGGCUGGAAGAGGAGCCCUAACACAUCAGUCGUGCUUUGCACUGGGCAAGAAAUGCUGAUAGAGAGAUGUUUGAUCAAGCCUCCAUUAUGACUUGAACACAGCAGCCGUCACCUUCAAUAGUUCGACUUUUUUUCCCAAGCUGGAUUUGUUGGCUGUGAUACCCACACUUGGCUAGAUAGUUAACACUUAACAGUUUUACUCUAAAAUUGUUCUGUAUCUAAAUACUGGAGAUAUUGAGCUCUCUGCAUCUCUGCAAAGAAUUCCAGCAAACAACAUUUGAAAUGCAAACAUAUUUCAACAGUAAUGGAAAGUUGAGGACAUGUCUUGACAUCACAACCACGUCAACCAACAAAGUGAUGAUGACUCUGAUGCUCACAAAGUAGUGGAAGAGGUGGAUUAUUUAGAAGAUGACACUGACAACCGUGACAGCAAUUAUGAUUAAAUGAGGUGAUUUUCCAAUACCCAGUGAUCUCAUUCAAUAAACAA